GGGGGUGUAACUCUGUGGUAGAGAGUGUGUCUAGCAUACAGAAACCCCUAGGUUCAAUUCUUAGCACCACACA
This 73-nucleotide transfer RNA is filed under the name Mus musculus (house mouse). Its description in RNAcentral is "tRNA-Ala". Lineage: Eukaryota; Metazoa; Chordata; Mammalia; Rodentia; Muridae. The record is from RNAcentral.